This is a long non-coding RNA of Gambusia affinis (western mosquitofish), 498 nucleotides long. RefSeq lists it as uncharacterized. The transcript is spliced from 2 exons. The record is from RefSeq and is a predicted model, not a curated record. NCBI's taxonomy places the organism in Eukaryota, Metazoa, Chordata, Actinopteri, Cyprinodontiformes, Poeciliidae.
UCAUCACGAACCAGGGAGAGAAAACGGAGAGCUUGUCCAGACAGAGGCGAUGUUUGUGGUUGUCAAGACUAGCGAGAGAUAAUCUGCGAGAUUCAACGCUACCUUAUAUCCGCGUCUGCUCGGAUCACUUUGUGUCAGGCCGACCUUCUGCUCUGUAUGAUGAUGCCAACCCAGACUGGGCCCCUUCUAUAAAUCUGGGCUGUGAUUGGAUGGAUGAGGGAACCACCCCCACUGGAGGCACACAAAGAUGCAAAAGGAAGCGUUAUAGGAGAGGAAAGAUUUUAGAGCAAGUUGCUGCUUCAGCAUUGCUUGAUCUAAGCAAUGCUGCUCAUGAAGACAAUGAGGAAUAUACUGAACAGAGAAAAUCAGUUAACGUUCAGACUGAUCUCACCUCUGAAUCCAUCACUGCAAUGCAGAUGGAAAUAAAGAGACUAAGAGAAAAACAGAACUAUGAGGAAGGAUGUUGCAGCUUUAAAAUUAAAGGACUUUUAAAUUCAA